Molecule: ribosomal RNA, 1372 nt
Filed under: uncultured bacterium
Lineage: Bacteria
Description: bacterial SSU rRNA
Rfam family: Bacterial small subunit ribosomal RNA
Source: RNAcentral
GAUGAACGCUGGCGGCGUGCCUAAUACAUGCAAGUCGAGCGAACGGACGAGAAGCUUGCUUCUCUGAUGUUAGCGGCGGACGGGUGAGUAACACGUGGAUAACCUACCUAUAAGACUGGGAUAACUUCGGGAAACCGGAGCUAAUACCGGAUAAUAUUUUGAACCGCAUGGUUCAAAAGUGAAAGACGGUCUUGCUGUCACUUAUAGAUGGAUCCGCGCUGCAUUAGCUAGUUGGUAAGGUAACGGCUUACCAAGGCAACGAUGCAUAGCCGACCUGAGAGGGUGAUCGGCCACACUGGAACUGAGACACGGUCCAGACUCCUACGGGAGGCAGCAGUAGGGAAUCUUCCGCAAUGGGCGAAAGCCUGACGGAGCAACGCCGCGUGAGUGAUGAAGGUCUUCGGAUCGUAAAACUCUGUUAUUAGGGAAGAACAUAUGUGUAAGUAACUGUGCACAUCUUGGCGGUACCUAAUCAGAAAGCCACGGCUAACUACGUGCCAGCAGCCGCGGUAAUACGUAGGUGGCAAGCGUUAUCCGGAAUUAUUGGGCGUNAAGCGCGCGUAGGCGGUUUUUUAAGUCUGAUGUGAAAGCCCACGGCUCAACCGUGGAGGGUCAUUGGAAACUGGAAUACUUGAGUGCAGAAGAGGAAAGUGGAAUUCCAUGUGUAGCGGUGAAAUGCGCAGAGAUAUGGAGGAACACCAGUGGCGAAGGCGACUUUCUGGUCUGUAACUGACGCUGAUGUGCGAAAGCGUGGGGAUCAAACAGGAUUAGAUACCCUGGUAGUCCACGCCGUAAACGAUGAGUGCUAAGUGUUAGGGGGUUUCCGCCCCUUAGUGCUGCAGCUAACGCAUUAAGCACUCCGCCUGGGGAGUACGACCGCAAGGUUGAAACUCAAAGGAAUUGACGGGGACCCGCACAAGCGGUGGAGCAUGUGGUUUAAUUCGAGGCAACGCGAAGAACCUUACCAAAUCUUGACAUCCUUUGACAACUCUAGAGAUAGAGCCUUCCCCUUCGGGGGACAAAGUGACAGGUGGUGCAUGGUUGUCGUCAGCUCGUGUCGUGAGAUGUUGGGUUAAGUCCCGCAACGAGCGCAACCCUUAAGCUUAGUUGCCAUCAUUAAGUUGGGCACUCUAAGUUGACUGCCGGUGACAAACCGGAGGAAGGUGGGGAUGACGUCAAAUCAUCAUGCCCCUUAUGAUUUGGGCUACACACGUGCUACAAUGGACAAUACAAAGGGCAGCGAAACCGCGAGGUCAAGCAAAUCCCAUAAAGUUGUUCUCAGUUCGGAUUGUAGUCUGCAACUCGACUACAUGAAGCUGGAAUCGCUAGUAAUCGUAGAUCAGCAUGCUACGGUGAAUACGUUCCCGGGUCU